Molecule: ribosomal RNA, 274 nt
Filed under: uncultured bacterium
Lineage: Bacteria
Description: partial 16S ribosomal RNA
Rfam family: Archaeal small subunit ribosomal RNA
Source: RNAcentral
AAACCAGCACCUCAAGUGGUCAGGAUGAUUAUUGGGCCUAAAGCAUCCGUAGCCGGCUCUGUAAGUUUUCGGUUAAAUCUGUACGCUCAACGUACGGGCUGCUGGGAAUACUGCAGAGCUAGGGAGUGGGAGAGGUAGACGGUACUCGGGAGGAAGUGGUAAAAUGCUUUGAUCUCUCGAUGACCACCUGUGGCGAAGGCGGUCUACCAGAACACGUCCGACGGUGAGGGAUGAAAGCUGGGGGAGCAAACCGGAUUAGAUACCCGUGUAGUCC